GACGAACGCUGGCGGCGUGCUUAACACAUGCUAGUCGAACGGAAAGGCCCUGCUUUUGUGGGGUGCUCGAGUGGCGAACGGGUGAGUAACACGUGAGUAACCUGCCCUUGACUUUGGGAUAACUUCAGGAAACUGGGGCUAAUACCGGAUAGGAGCUCCUGCUGCAUGGUGGGGGUUGGAAAGUUUCGGCGGUUGGGGAUGGACUCGCGGCUUAUCAGCUUGUUGGUGGGGUAGUGGCUUACCAAGGCUUUGACGGGUAGCCGGCCUGAGAGGGUGACCGGCCACAUUGGGACUGAGAUACGGCCCAGACUCCUACGGGAGGCAGCAGUGGGGAAUAUUGCACAAUGGGCGGAAGCCUGAUGCAGCAACGCCGCGUGCGGGAUGACGGCCUUCGGGUUGUAAACCGCUUUCGCCUGUGACGAAGCGUGAGUGACGGUAAUGGGUAAAGAAGCACCGGCUAACUACGUGCCAGCAGCCGCGGUGAUACGUAGGGUGCGAGCGUUGUCCGGAUUUAUUGGGCGUAAAGGGCUCGUAGGUGGUUGAUCGCGUCGGAAGUGUAAUCUUGGGGCUUAACCCUGAGCGUGCUUUCGAUACGGGUUGACUUGAGGAAGGUAGGGGAGAAUGGAAUUCCUGGUGGAGCGGUGGAAUGCGCAGAUAUCAGGAGGAACACCAGUGGCGAAGGCGGUUCUCUGGGCCUUUCCUGACGCUGAGGAGCGAAAGCGUGGGGAGCGAACAGGCUUAGAUACCCUGGUAGUCCACGCUGUAAACGGUGGGUACUAGGUGUGGGGUCCAUUCCACGGGUUCCGUGCCGUAGCUAACGCUUUAAGUACCCCGCCUGGGGAGCACGGCCGCAAGGCUAAAACUCAAAGGAAUUGACGGGGCCCCGCACAAGCGGCGGAGCAUGCGGAUUAAUUCGAUGCAACGCGUAGAACCUUACCUGGGUUUGACAUGGAUCGGGAGUGCUCAGAGAUGGGUGUGCCUCUUUUGGGGUCGGUUCACAGGUGGUGCAUGCCUGUCGUCAGCUCGUGUCGUGAGAUGUUGGGUUAAGUCCCGCAACGAGCGCAACCCUUGUUCACUGUUGCCAGCACGUUAUGGUGGGGACUCAGUGGAGACCGCCGGGGUCAACUCGGAGGAAGGUGGGGAUGACGUCAAGUCCUCAUGCCCCUUAUGUCCAGGGCUUCACGCAUGCUACAAUGGCUGGUACAGAGAGUGGCGAGCCUGUGAGGGUGAGCGAAUCUCGGAAAGCCGGUCUCAGUUCGGAUUGGGGUCUGCAACUCGACCUCAUGAAGUCGGAGUCGCUAGUAAUCGCAGAUCAGCAACGCUGCGGUGAAUAAAUUCCCGGGGCU
Molecule: ribosomal RNA, 1346 nt
Filed under: uncultured bacterium
Lineage: Bacteria
Description: bacterial SSU rRNA
Rfam family: Bacterial small subunit ribosomal RNA
Source: RNAcentral